CUGGAGGUAUCAGAAGUGCGAAUGCUGACAUAAGUAACGAUAAAGCGGGUGAAAAGCCCGCUCGCCGGAAGACCAAGGGUUCCUGUCCAACGUUAAUCGGGGCAGGGUGAGUCGACCCCUAAGGCGAGGCCGAAAGGCGUAGUCGAUGGGAAACAGGUUAAUAUUCCUGUACUUGGUGUUACUGCGAAGGGGGGACGGAGAAGGCUAUGUUGGCCGGGCGACGGUUGUCCCGGUUUAAGCGUGUAGGCUGGUUUUCCAGGCAAAUCCGGAAAAUCAAGGCUGAGGCGUGAUGACGAGGCACUACGGUGCUGAAGCAACAAAUGCCCUGCUUCCAGGAAAAGCCUCUAAGCAUCAGGUAACAUCAAAUCGUACCCCAAACCGACAC
Molecule: ribosomal RNA, 385 nt
Filed under: Escherichia coli
Lineage: Bacteria; Pseudomonadati; Pseudomonadota; Gammaproteobacteria; Enterobacterales; Enterobacteriaceae
Description: partial 23S ribosomal RNA
Rfam family: Bacterial large subunit ribosomal RNA
Source: RNAcentral